ACUAGGUGUGGUGGAGCAUAUCUGUAUUCCUAGUUACACAGGAAGCUCUGAAGCAGGAGGAUCACUUGAGCCCAGGAGUUCAAAUUUAACCUGGGAAGCAUAGUGAGACUGUGUAUAUA
Molecule: small RNA, 119 nt
Filed under: Marmota monax (woodchuck)
Lineage: Eukaryota; Metazoa; Chordata; Mammalia; Rodentia; Sciuridae
Source: RNAcentral